AGGAUAAUAGUUAAAUAUAACAUUUAAUUUGCACUUAAAAAGUAUUGAUCCCAUCAAUUUAUCUU
RNAcentral lists this transfer RNA (65 nucleotides) under Cnemoplites australis. RNAcentral describes it as "tRNA-Ala". It matches the Rfam family "tRNA". From Rfam's summary of the family: Transfer RNA (tRNA) molecules are approximately 80 nucleotides in length. Their secondary structure includes four short double-helical elements and three loops (D, anti-codon, and T loops). The record is from RNAcentral. Lineage: Eukaryota; Metazoa; Arthropoda; Insecta; Coleoptera; Cerambycidae.